This 422-nucleotide ribosomal RNA is filed under the name uncultured bacterium. RNAcentral describes it as "bacterial SSU rRNA". It matches the Rfam family "Bacterial small subunit ribosomal RNA", at positions 355 to 774 of the family's 1533-position model. The record is from RNAcentral.
UGAGGAAUAUUGGACAAUGGGCGCAAGCCUGAUCCAGCCAUGCCGCGUGCAGGAAGAAGCAUCUAUGGUGUGUAAACUGCUUUUGUACGGGAAGAAACACUCCUACGUGUAGUGUGCUGAAUGUACCGAAGGAAUAAGGAUCGGCUAACUCCGUGCCAGCAGCCGCGGUAAUACGGAGGAUCCAAGCGCUAUCCGGAAUCAUUGGGUUUAAAGGGUCCGUAGGCGGUUUAAUAAGUCAGUGGUGAAAGCCCAUCGCUCAACGAUGGAACGGCCAUUGAUACUGCUAGACUUGAAUUAUUAGGAAGUAACUAGAAUAUGUAGUGUAGCGGUGAAAUGCUUAGAUAUUACAUGGAAUACCAAUUGCGAAGGCAGGUUACUACUAAUGGAUUGACGCUGAUGGACGAAAGCGUGGGGAGCGAACA